Molecule: transfer RNA, 69 nt
Filed under: Bos taurus (domestic cattle)
Lineage: Eukaryota; Metazoa; Chordata; Mammalia; Artiodactyla; Bovidae
Also listed under: 4 other names
Rfam family: tRNA
About the family: Transfer RNA (tRNA) molecules are approximately 80 nucleotides in length. Their secondary structure includes four short double-helical elements and three loops (D, anti-codon, and T loops). Further hydrogen bonds mediate the characteristic L-shaped molecular structure. tRNAs have two regions of fundamental functional importance: the anti-codon, which is responsible for specific mRNA codon recognition, and the 3' end, to which the tRNAs corresponding amino acid is attached (by aminoacyl-tRNA synthetases). tRNAs cope with the degeneracy of the genetic code in two manners: having more than one tRNA (with a specific anti-codon) for a particular amino acid; and 'wobble' base-pairing, i.e. permitting non-standard base-pairing at the 3rd anti-codon position.
Source: Rfam by way of RNAcentral
CCUGGUAGCUCAGACGGUAAAGCAUCUGCCUACAAUGCUGAAGACCCAGGUUCGAUCCCUGGGUCAGGA